CCUACGGGAGGCAGCAGUGAGGAAUAUUGGUCAAUGGACGAGAGUCUGAACCAGCCAAGUAGCGUGAAGGAUGACUGCCCUAUGGGUUGUAAACUUCUUUUAUAUGGGAAUAAAAUGUUCCACGUGUGGGAUUUUGUAUGUACCAUAUGAAUAAGGAUCGGCUAACUCCGUGCCAGCAGCCGCGGUAAUACGGAGGAUCCGAGCGUUAUCCGGAUUUAUUGGGUUUAAAGGGAGCGUAGGUGGAUUGUUAAGUCAGUUGUGAAAGUUUGCGGCUCAACCGUAAAAUUGCAGUUGAAACUGGCAGUCGUGAGUACAGUAGAGGUGGGCGGAAUUCGUGGUGUAGCGGUGAAAUGCUGAGAUAUCACGAAGAACUCCGAUUGCGAAGGCAGCUCACUGGACUGCAACUGACACUGAGGCUCGAAAGUGUGGGUAUCAAACAGGACUAGAUACCCUAGUAGUC
This 460-nucleotide ribosomal RNA is filed under the name uncultured bacterium. RNAcentral describes it as "partial 16S ribosomal RNA". It matches the Rfam family "Bacterial small subunit ribosomal RNA", at positions 338 to 795 of the family's 1533-position model. The record is from RNAcentral.